Molecule: ribosomal RNA, 329 nt
Filed under: uncultured Pseudomonadota bacterium
Lineage: Bacteria; Pseudomonadati; Pseudomonadota
Description: bacterial SSU rRNA
Rfam family: Bacterial small subunit ribosomal RNA
Source: RNAcentral
AGUGAACGCUGGCGGCGUGCUUAACACAUGCAAGUCGAACGGUAACAGGAAGUAGCUUGCUACUUUGCUGACGAGUGGCGCACGGGUGAGUAAUAUAUAGUUAAUGUGCCCCAAAGACCGGGAUAGCCACUGGAAACGGUGAUUAAUACUGGAUACACCUUCAUAUCACAAGGUAUGAAGGGAAAUGUCUUUUCGCUUUGGGAUCAGACUAUAUCCUAUCAGUUAGUUGGUGAGGUAAGAGCUCACCAAGGCAAUGACGGGUAGCGGGUUUGAGAGGAUGAUCCGCCACACUGGUACUGAGACACGGACCAGACUCCUACGGGAGGCAG